UACGUAGGGUGCGAGCGUUAAUCGGAAUUACUGGGCGUAAAGCGUGCGCAGGCGGUUCGUUAAGACAGAUGUGAAAUCCCCGGGCUUAACCUGGGAACUGCAUUUGUGACUGGCGAGCUAGAGUAUGGCAGAGGGGGUUAGAAUUCCACGUGUAGCAGUGAAAUGCGUAGAUAUGACAUAGAACACCAAUUGCGAAGGCAGCUCACUACGGGAUUAUUGACACUGAGGCACGAAAGCGUGGGGAUCAAACAGG
This 253-nucleotide ribosomal RNA is filed under the name uncultured bacterium. Its description in RNAcentral is "partial 16S ribosomal RNA". It matches the Rfam family "Bacterial small subunit ribosomal RNA", at positions 524 to 776 of the family's 1533-position model. The record is from RNAcentral.